RNAcentral lists this ribosomal RNA (253 nucleotides) under uncultured Parabacteroides sp. RNAcentral's name for it is "partial 16S ribosomal RNA". It matches the Rfam family "Bacterial small subunit ribosomal RNA", at positions 524 to 776 of the family's 1533-position model. Lineage: Bacteria; Pseudomonadati; Bacteroidota; Bacteroidia; Bacteroidales; Tannerellaceae. The record is from RNAcentral.
UACGUAGGUGGCAAGCGUUAUCCGGAUUUAUUGGGUUUAAAGGGUGCGUAGGUUGUUUUUUAAGUCAGCGGUGAAAGUUUGUGGCUCAACCAUAAAAUUGCCGUUGAAACUGGAAGACUUGAGUGUGUUUGAGGUAGGCGGAAUGCGUGGUGUAGCGGUGAAAUGCAUAGAUAUCACGCAGAACUCCGAUUGCGAAGGCAGCAUACCGGCGCUCAACUGACGCUCAUGCACGAAAGUGUGGGUAUCGAACAGG